GACGAACGCUGGCGGCGUGCUUAACACAUGCAAGUCGAACGGAAAGGCCCUGCUUUUGUGGGGUGCUCGAGUGGCGAACGGGUGAGUAACACGUGAGUAACCUGCCCUUGACUUUGGGAUAACUUCAGGAAACUGGGGCUAAUACCGGAUAGGAGCUCCUGCUGCAUGGUGGGGGUUGGAAAGUUUCGGCGGUUGGGGAUAGACUCGCGGCUUAUCAGCUUGUUGGUGGGGUAGUGGCUUACCAAGGCUUUGACGGGUAGCCGGCCUGAGAGGGUGACCGGCCACGUUGGGACUGAGAUACGGCCCAGACUCCUACGGGAGGCAGCAGUGGGGAAUAUUGCACAAUGGGCGGAAGCCUGAUGCAGCAACGCCGCGUGCGGGAUGACGGCCUUCGGGUUGUAAACCGCUUUCGCCUGUGACGAAGCGUGAGUGACGGUAAUGGGUAAAGAAGCACCGGCUAACUACGUG
Molecule: ribosomal RNA, 468 nt
Filed under: uncultured bacterium
Lineage: Bacteria
Description: partial 16S ribosomal RNA
Rfam family: Bacterial small subunit ribosomal RNA
Source: RNAcentral